Molecule: ribosomal RNA, 256 nt
Filed under: Staphylococcus aureus
Lineage: Bacteria; Bacillati; Bacillota; Bacilli; Caryophanales; Staphylococcaceae
Description: partial 23S ribosomal RNA
Rfam family: Bacterial large subunit ribosomal RNA
Source: RNAcentral
AGAAGUGAGAAUGCCGGUGUGAGUAGCGAAAGACGGGUGAGAAUCCCGUCCACCGAUUGACUAAGGUUUCCAGAGGAAGGCUCGUCCGCUCUGGGUUAGUCGGGUCCUAAGCUGAGGCCGACAGGCGUAGGCGAUGGAUAACAGGUUGAUAUUCCUGUACCACCUAUAAUCGUUUUAAUCGAUGGGGGGACGCAGUAGGAUAGGCGAAGCGUGCGAUUGGAUUGCACGUCUAAGCAGUAAGGCUGAGUAUUAGGCA